AUUGAACGCUGGCGGCAUGCCUUACACAUGCAAGUCGAACGGCAGCACGGGAGCAAUCCUGGUGGCGAGUGGCGAACGGGUGAGUAAUAUAUCGGAACGUGCCCAGUCGUGGGGAUAACGUAGCGAAAGCUACGCUAAUACCGCAUACGAUCUAUGGAUGAAAGCGGGGGAUCGCAAGACCUCGCGCGAUUGGAGCGGCCGAUAUCAGAUUAGGUAGUUGGUGAGGUAAAGGCUCACCAAGCCGACGAUCUGUAGCUGGUCUGAGAGGACGACCAGCCACACUGGGACUGAGACACGGCCCAGACUCCUACGGGAGGCAGCAGUGGGGAAUUUUUGGGACAAUGGGCGCAAGCCUGAUCCAGCAAUGCCGCGUGCAGGAUGAAGGCCU
This 388-nucleotide ribosomal RNA is filed under the name uncultured bacterium. RNAcentral's name for it is "bacterial SSU rRNA". It matches the Rfam family "Bacterial small subunit ribosomal RNA", at positions 30 to 417 of the family's 1533-position model. The record is from RNAcentral.